GACGAACGCUGGCGGCGUGCUUAACACAUGCAAGUCGAACGAAGAGCGAUGGAAGCUUGCUUCUAUCAAUCUUAGUGGCGAACGGGUGAGUAACGCGUAAUCAACCUGCCCUUCAGAGGGGGACAACAGUUGGAAACGACUGCUAAUACCGCAUACGAUCUAACCUCGGCAUCGAGGAUGGAUGAAAGGUGGCCUCUAUUUAUAAGCUAUCACUGAAGGAGGGGAUUGCGUCUGAUUAGCUAGUUGGAGGGGUAACGGCCCACCAAGGCGAUGAUCAGUAGCCGGUCUGAGAGGAUGAACGGCCACAUUGGGACUGAGACACGGCCCAGACUCCUACGGGAGGCAGCAGUGGGGAAUCUUCCGCAAUGGACGAAAGUCUGACGGAGCAACGCCGCGUGAGUGAUGACGGC
RNAcentral lists this ribosomal RNA (410 nucleotides) under Veillonella dispar. RNAcentral's name for it is "bacterial SSU rRNA". It matches the Rfam family "Bacterial small subunit ribosomal RNA", at positions 28 to 415 of the family's 1533-position model. The record is from RNAcentral. Lineage: Bacteria; Bacillati; Bacillota; Negativicutes; Veillonellales; Veillonellaceae.